ACUGUCCUUCUCUUGGGGUUGUAUUACUGUCCUAUAAGCGCAUAGUGAGGGCAGCACUGCUAACACCUACACAACAUGCUGGCAGCAACUAGAGUUUUGCUUUAUAUUGGUGCAAUUUUUGGAAGA
Small nuclear RNA from Nycticebus coucang (slow loris), 126 nucleotides. RefSeq annotates it as U4atac minor spliceosomal RNA. The transcript has a single exon. The record is from RefSeq and is a predicted model, not a curated record. Lineage: Eukaryota; Metazoa; Chordata; Mammalia; Primates; Lorisidae.